This 492-nucleotide ribosomal RNA is filed under the name uncultured bacterium. RNAcentral's name for it is "partial 16S ribosomal RNA". It matches the Rfam family "Bacterial small subunit ribosomal RNA", at positions 29 to 507 of the family's 1533-position model. The record is from RNAcentral.
AGUGAACGCUGGCGGUAGGCCUAACACAUGCAAGUCGAACGGCAGCACAGUAAGAGCUUGCUCUUACGGGUGGCGAGUGGCGGACGGGUGAGGAAUACAUCGGAAUCUACUUUUUCGUGGGGGAUAACGUAGGGAAACUUACGCUAAUACCGCAUACGACCUACGGGUGAAAGCAGGGGAUCUUCGGACCUCGCGCGAUUGUAGGAGCCGAUGUCGGAUUAGCUAGUUGGCGGGGUAAAGGCCCACCAAGGCGACGAUCCGUAGCUGGUCUGAGAGGAUGAUCAGCCACACUGGAACUGAGACACGGUCCAGACUCCUACGGGAGGCAGCAGUGGGGAAUAUUGGACAAUGGGCGCAAGCCUGAUCCAGCCAUACCGCGUGGGUGAAGAAGGCCUUCGGGUUGUAAAGCCCUUUUGUUGGGAAAGAAAAGCAGCAGGUUAAUACCCCGCUGUUCUGACGGUACCCAAAGAAUAAGCACCGGCUAACUUCGUG